CGAUUUGGUUUUUCUCUGCUUGUUGGCUUCUGUCUUGUUGGUGUCAGAGGCAAAGGUGCCAGACGGCAUGUGGAGGCGCGGCAGACAGAGGCUAGGGUAGGGUGCGGCGCCACUUGGGUUAGGGGGGCUAGGGUUUCUAUUAGGUGUUUAGGUUUUGGGCUGAUUGGGCUGUUAGAGUUUUUAUUUUUUUGGACUUGUAUUUGGGUUUGUUGUUUUUUUUGUAAAUGGACUGGAUAUUUGAGAUUUUUUUUAUUUUAUUUAUUAUUUGUAUUUGGUCUUAGGCCCAGGUAAAAUUGGCCUACUACAGCUACUUAUUUAAAUUUUAUUUUACUCAUAAUUUAAUCUAUUGCUAUUUAUUCUAACAUCAUAAUAUGUCAU
This 378-nucleotide long non-coding RNA is filed under the name Gossypium raimondii (Peruvian cotton). RNAcentral describes it as "long non-coding RNA (GRAI_LNC005538)". Lineage: Eukaryota; Viridiplantae; Streptophyta; Magnoliopsida; Malvales; Malvaceae. The record is from RNAcentral.